RNAcentral lists this ribosomal RNA (2923 nucleotides) under Klebsiella pneumoniae. RNAcentral describes it as "bacterial LSU rRNA". It matches the Rfam family "Bacterial large subunit ribosomal RNA". The record is from RNAcentral. RNAcentral also lists the same sequence under 1 other name. Lineage: Bacteria; Pseudomonadati; Pseudomonadota; Gammaproteobacteria; Enterobacterales; Enterobacteriaceae.
GGGUUGUGAGGUUAAGCGACUAAGCGUACACGGUGGAUGCCCUGGCAGUCAGAGGCGAUGAAGGACGUGCUAAUCUGCGAAAAGCGUCGGUAAGGUGAUAUGAACCGUUAUAACCGGCGAUGUCCGAAUGGGGAAACCCAGUGUGAUUCGUCACACUAUCGUUAACUGAAUACAUAGGUUAACGAGGCGAACCGGGGGAACUGAAACAUCUAAGUACCCCGAGGAAAAGAAAUCAACCGAGAUUCCCCCAGUAGCGGCGAGCGAACGGGGAGCAGCCCAGAGUCUGAAUCAGCUUGUGUGUUAGUGGAACGGUCUGGAAAGUCCGACGGUACAGGGUGAUAGUCCCGUACACCAAAAUGCACAGGCUGUGAACUCGAAGAGUAGGGCGGGACACGUGGUAUCCUGUCUGAAUAUGGGGGGACCAUCCUCCAAGGCUAAAUACUCCUGACUGACCGAUAGUGAACCAGUACCGUGAGGGAAAGGCGAAAAGAACCCCGGCGAGGGGAGUGAAAAAGAACCUGAAACCGUGUACGUACAAGCAGUGGGAGCACCUUCGGGUGUGACUGCGUACCUUUUGUAUAAUGGGUCAGCGACUUAUAUUCUGUAGCAAGGUUAACCGUAUAGGGGAGCCGCAGGGAAACCGAGUCUUAACUGGGCGUUAAGUUGCAGGGUAUAGACCCGAAACCCGGUGAUCUAGCCAUGGGCAGGUUGAAGGUUGGGUAACACUAACUGGAGGACCGAACCGACUAAUGUUGAAAAAUUAGCGGAUGACUUGUGGCUGGGGGUGAAAGGCCAAUCAAACCGGGAGAUAGCUGGUUCUCCCCGAAAGCUAUUUAGGUAGCGCCUCGUGAACUCAUCUUCGGGGGUAGAGCACUGUUUCGGCUAGGGGGUCAUCCCGACUUACCAACCCGAUGCAAACUACGAAUACCGAAGAAUGUUAUCACGGGAGACACACGGCGGGUGCUAACGUCCGUCGUGAAGAGGGAAACAACCCAGACCGCCAGCUAAGGUCCCAAAGUCAUGGUUAAGUGGGAAACGAUGUGGGAAGGCACAGACAGCCAGGAUGUUGGCUUAGAAGCAGCCAUCAUUUAAAGAAAGCGUAAUAGCUCACUGGUCGAGUCGGCCUGCGCGGAAGAUGUAACGGGGCUAAACCAUGCACCGAAGCUGCGGCAGCGACACUAUGUGUUGUUGGGUAGGGGAGCGUUCUGUAAGCCUGCGAAGGUGACCUGUGAGGGUUGCUGGAGGUAUCAGAAGUGCGAAUGCUGACAUAAGUAACGAUAAAGCGGGUGAAAAGCCCGCUCGCCGGAAGACCAAGGGUUCCUGUCCAACGUUAAUCGGGGCAGGGUGAGUCGACCCCUAAGGCGAGGCCGAAAGGCGUAGUCGAUGGGAAACAGGUUAAUAUUCCUGUACUUGGUGUUACUGCGAAGGGGGGACGGAGAAGGCUAUGUUAGCCGGGCGACGGUUGUCCCGGUUUAAGCAUGUAGGCUGGUUAUCCAGGCAAAUCCGGAUAAUCAAGGCUGAGGUGUGAUGACGAGGCACUACGGUGCUGAAGUAACAAAUGCCCUGCUUCCAGGAAAAGCCUCUAAGCAUCAGGUAACAUCAAAUCGUACCCCAAACCGACACAGGUGGUCAGGUAGAGAAUACCAAGGCGCUUGAGAGAACUCGGGUGAAGGAACUAGGCAAAAUGGUGCCGUAACUUCGGGAGAAGGCACGCUGGUGUGUAGGUGAAGCCCCUGCGGGUGGAGCUGAGACCAGUCGAAGAUACCAGCUGGCUGCAACUGUUUAUUAAAAACACAGCACUGUGCAAACACGAAAGUGGACGUAUACGGUGUGACGCCUGCCCGGUGCCGGAAGGUUAAUUGAUGGGGUUAUCCGUAAGGAGAAGCUCUUGAUCGAAGCCCCGGUAAACGGCGGCCGUAACUAUAACGGUCCUAAGGUAGCGAAAUUCCUUGUCGGGUAAGUUCCGACCUGCACGAAUGGCGUAAUGAUGGCCAGGCUGUCUCCACCCGAGACUCAGUGAAAUUGAACUCGCUGUGAAGAUGCAGUGUACCCGCGGCAAGACGGAAAGACCCCGUGAACCUUUACUAUAGCUUGACACUGAACAUUGAGCCUUGAUGUGUAGGAUAGGUGGGAGGCUUUGAAGCGUGGACGCCAGUCUGCGUGGAGCCAACCUUGAAAUACCACCCUUUAAUGUUUGAUGUUCUAACGUUGGCCCCUGACCGGGGUUGCGGACAGUGUCUGGUGGGUAGUUUGACUGGGGCGGUCUCCUCCCAAAGCGUAACGGAGGAGCACGAAGGUUAGCUAAUCCUGGUCGGACAUCAGGAGGUUAGUGCAAUGGCAUAAGCUAGCUUGACUGCGAGCGUGACGGCGCGAGCAGGUGCGAAAGCAGGUCAUAGUGAUCCGGUGGUUCUGAAUGGAAGGGCCAUCGCUCAACGGAUAAAAGGUACUCCGGGGAUAACAGGCUGAUACCGCCCAAGAGUUCAUAUCGACGGCGGUGUUUGGCACCUCGAUGUCGGCUCAUCACAUCCUGGGGCUGAAGUAGGUCCCAAGGGUAUGGCUGUUCGCCAUUUAAAGUGGUACGCGAGCUGGGUUUAGAACGUCGUGAGACAGUUCGGUCCCUAUCUGCCGUGGGCGCUGGAGAAUUGAGGGGGGCUGCUCCUAGUACGAGAGGACCGGAGUGGACGCAUCACUGGUGUUCGGGUUGUCAUGCCAAUGGCACUGCCCGGUAGCUAAAUGCGGAAGAGAUAAGUGCUGAAAGCAUCUAAGCACGAAACUUGCCCCGAGAUGAGUUCUCCCUGAGACUUUAAGUCUCCUGAAGGAACGUUGAAGACGACGACGUUGAUAGGCCGGGUGUGUAAGCGCAGCGAUGCGUUGAGCUAACCGGUACUAAUGAACCGUGAGGCUUAACCUUACAACGCCGAAG